RNAcentral lists this long non-coding RNA (589 nucleotides) under Vitis vinifera (wine grape). RNAcentral describes it as "long non-coding RNA (VVIN_LNC007995)". Lineage: Eukaryota; Viridiplantae; Streptophyta; Magnoliopsida; Vitales; Vitaceae. The record is from RNAcentral.
AAACAGUAUAUGAAGUCUGAAGAAGUGCACAGUGCACAGUUUGUAAAAAAAAAAAAAAAAAAAAAAAAAAAAAAAAGUGAAUAGUGUUUUGUGAAUAGUAAAAUCCGUCCUUUAAAGUAAAAAGCAAGAUGACUCAUCACCCAUGUGACCAAAUGAAGAAGAAGAAAGCAAAUUUACCUCCUGCAUACACGUGGAAGACAUCCAAUGCAUAAAGCCUUCAAGCCUUUGCUAUAAAUAGGGCUCAAAGGCUUCCUACCAAGGCAGAGCUCGGGAAGGGGUUCCAAGAGUGUUGUAAGAGUUAGCUGCAAGAGAGAAAAAUAUUAGAGAGUUGCAAAAAAUAUUUUGAGAGUUCAAAAAUUCUCUUUUAAUUUUCUUAGAGUCAUUCCUCUGCUGUCAACAACUUGUAGUCAUCAGCUCUCUGUAAUCAAGGUAUAUUUUCAAUAAACAAUAUUUUCAGAUUCAAAUAUUUGUGUUAUUAUGCUGCAAUAAAUUAGACAGUAUUAGACAUUAAAUAUUUCUGUUUUUAUGCUUGGAGUUAAUUAGACAGAUUUAAUUACUGCGUGCACGAACUGUUGUAUGUCCUNNNNNN